RNAcentral lists this ribosomal RNA (462 nucleotides) under uncultured bacterium. RNAcentral describes it as "partial 16S ribosomal RNA". It matches the Rfam family "Bacterial small subunit ribosomal RNA", at positions 28 to 507 of the family's 1533-position model. The record is from RNAcentral.
GACGAACGCUGGCGGCGUGCUUAACACAUGCAAGUCGAACGGAAAGGCCCUUCGGGGUACUCGAGUGGCGAACGGGUGCGUAACACGUGGGUGAUCUGCCCUGCACUUUGGGAUAAGCCUGGGAAACUGGGUCUAAUACCGAAUAGGACCACGCGCUUCAUGUUGUGUGGUGGAAAGCUUUUGCGGUGUGGGAUGGGCCCGCGGCCUAUCAGCUUGUUGGUGGGGUAAUGGCCUACCAAGGCGACGACGGGUAGCCGGCCUGAGAGGGUGACCGGCCACACUGGGACUGAGAUACGGCCCAGACUCCUACGGGAGGCAGCAGUGGGGAAUUUUGCACAAUGGGCGCAAGCCUGAUGCAGCGACGCCGCGUGAGGGAUGACGUCCUUCGGGUUGUAAACCUCUUUCAAUAGAAACGAAGCGCAAGUGACGGUACCUAGAAAAGAAGCACCGGCCAACUACGUG